GAUGAACGCUGGCGGCGUGCCUAAUACAUGCAAGUCGAGCGAACAGACGAGGAGCUUGCUCCUCUGACGUUAGCGGCGGACGGGUGAGUAACACGUGGAUAACCUACCUAUAAGACUGGGAUAACUUCGGGAAACCGGAGCUAAUACCGGAUAAUAUAUUGAACCGCAUGGUUCAAUAGUGAAAGACGGUUUUGCUGUCACUUAUAGAUGGAUCCGCGCCGCAUUAGCUAGUUGGUAAGGUAACGGCUUACCAAGGCAACGAUGCGUAGCCGACCUGAGAGGGUGAUAGGCCACACUGGAACGGAGACACGGUCCAGACUCCUACGGGAGGCAGCAGUAGGGAAUCUUACGCAAUGGGCGAAAGCUUGACGGAGCAACGCCGCGUGAGUGAUGAAGGUCUUCGGAGCGUAAAAAUCUGUUAUUAGGGAAGAACAAAUGUGUAAGUAACUAUGCACGUCUUGACGGUACCUAAUCAGAAAGCCACGGCUAACUACGUG
Molecule: ribosomal RNA, 497 nt
Filed under: uncultured bacterium
Lineage: Bacteria
Description: partial 16S ribosomal RNA
Rfam family: Bacterial small subunit ribosomal RNA
Source: RNAcentral